ACAGGGACCAUGGACUGGUCCCCUUCUCUGCAUCCAUUCCAAUCGUCGAUCUUUGGAGACAAGAAGGUCUGGCAGUAAUCACGAGGAAACCAUCCGACUUAUCCUUGGGGUCUGUCAGGAGUUCGGAUCCUUCCAGCUGGUUAAUCACGGGCUAUUGGAGAGACUGCUGGGCAAGCCGAUGGACAUAGUAAGGGAGUUCUUCGAGAUGCGGGAGGAGGACAGGGCACUGUACUAGGAUCCUGGGAAGCCUUGCAGGCUGUAAAUGAGCAUCGACUACGAGCGGGAGAAGGUCCACUUCUGGAGGGACACCCUCGGGAGUCAGGCACCCUUCCCAUCCCCUGCAUCAGCACAUUCCUUCUUGGCCGGAGAAGCCUCCACUUUAUAGCUGGUUAAUCAUGGGCUAUUGGAGAGACUGCUGGGCGAGGCGAUGGAAGUAGUAAGGGAGUUCUUCGAGAUGCGGGACUAGGACAGGACACUGCACUAGGAUCCCGGGAAGCCUUGCAGGCUGUACAUGAGCAUCGACUACGAGCGGGAGAAGGUCCACUUCUGGAGGACACCCUCAGGAAUCAGGCACCCUUCCCAUCCCCUGCAUCAGCACAUUCCCUCUUGGCCGGAGAAGCCUCCACUUUAUAGAGAAAUUAUGGGAAAACUAUUCAGUGGAAGUAAGGAAGCUGAGCCUCUACCUUCUCGAUAUGAUUUGUGAAGGCCUCAGACUCGAACCGGGAUUUUUUGAUAAGGAACUGACUCAAGUCCAGUUGAUGGCUUUGAACCAUCAUCCUCCGAGUCCUGAUUCCAGCUUAACCUUGGACUUCCGCAACAUAGUGAUGUUGGUCUCAUCACAGUUCUUCAAGGUCAAAUUCACGGGCUCCAGGUCCUCAAGGAUGGGCAGUGGCUCGGCAUGCCGCCUCCCCACAACGCCUUUGUGGUGAAUAUCGGACACAUGUUGCAUGCAAGCGCUUGGCUGAAAUCAUAAAAAUCCUACUUCUAUAUUGUUGCUCAAAAUUUAUACUAAUGAAUGUGUUCAAAAGUACAGUUUUCUCAGAUCAUAAGUAACGGAAUGCUGAGGAGCGCCGAGCACUGAGUGAUGACGAACAGAGAGUCUGCACGAACCACGGUUUCAAGUUUCAUCCAUCCCUUUGAUGGUAACCACAUCGAACCUGCCAGGGCAUUAGUCACUGAUUCGAGUCCUCAAAUCUACAGAACUUUCAGAUACAAGGAUUUCCUCUAGACCUACAUUACUGACACCCACAAAAGAACACCGCCGCUGAAGCGUUGCAUCUUAGGAUCUUAACAUGAAACAAUAAAUACAUUUACGGAAAAGUUCAGUUCCAGGGAAUGAUGCCUACAGUAUAACUCUCUGUUCAAAUCGUGUCUGUUCUUUCUCGUGUGAGUUUCUCAUUUGAACAAGUCGUAACGAGGAAAAAUUCGUUGAAGAAAAGAGAGGGAACGAACACAUCAAAUUAUUUGAUGGCUCCAGAUUUUAAUGCAGCAGCCCAGCAGACAUGCAUUCAUCGUUCCAACAUUAUGAGAUGCUAAGAACAGGGAC
This is a non-coding RNA of Punica granatum (pomegranate), 1546 nucleotides long. The record is from RefSeq and is a predicted model, not a curated record. Lineage: Eukaryota; Viridiplantae; Streptophyta; Magnoliopsida; Myrtales; Lythraceae.